AUUGAACGCUGGCGGCAGGCCUAACACAUGCAAGUCGAGCGGAUGAAGGGAGCUUGCUCCUGGAUUCAGCGGCGGACGGGUGAGUAAUGCCUAGGAAUCUGCCUGGUAGUGGGGGAUAACGUCCGGAAACGGGCGCUAAUACCGCAUACGUCCUGAGGGAGAAAGUGGGGGAUCUUCGGACCUCACGCUAUCAGAUGAGCCUAGGUCGGAUUAGCUAGUUGGUGGGGUAAAGGCCUACCAAGGCGACGAUCCGUAACUGGUCUGAGAGGAUGAUCAGUCACACUGGAACUGAGCCACGGUCCAGACUCCUGCGGGAGGCAGCAGUGGGGAAUAUUGGACAAUGGGCGAAAGCCUGAUCCAGCCAUGCCGCGUGUGUGAAGAAGGUCUUCGGAUUGUAAAGCACUUUAAGUUGGGAGGAAGGGCAGUAAGUUAAUACCUUGCUGUUUUGACGUUACCAACAGAAUAAGCACCGGCUAACUUCGUG
Molecule: ribosomal RNA, 484 nt
Filed under: uncultured bacterium
Lineage: Bacteria
Description: partial 16S ribosomal RNA
Rfam family: Bacterial small subunit ribosomal RNA
Source: RNAcentral